GACGAACGCUGGCGGCGUGCCUAAUACAUGCAAGUAGAACGCUGAAGAGAGGAGCUUGCUCUUCUUGGAUGAGUUGCGAACGGGUGAGUAACGCGUAGGUAACCUGCCUUGUAGCGGGGGAUAACUAUUGGAAACGAUAGCUAAUACCGCAUAACAAUGGAUGGCACAUGUCAUUUAUUUGAAAGGGGCAAUUGCUCCACUACAAGAUGGACCUGCGUUGUAUUAGCUAGUAGGUGAGGUAACGGCUCACCUAGGCGACGAUACAUAGCCGACCUGAGAGGGUGAUCGGCCACACUGGGACUGAGACACGGCCCAGACUCCUACGGGAGGCAGCAGUAGGGAAUCUUCGGCAAUGGGGGCAACCCUGACCGAGCAACGCCGCGUGAGUGAAGAAGGUUUUCGGAUCGUAAAGCUCUGUUGUAAGUCAAGAACGAGUGUGAGAGUGGAAAGUUCACACUGUGACGGUAGCUUACCAGAAAGGGACGGCUAACUACGUG
This 497-nucleotide ribosomal RNA is filed under the name uncultured bacterium. Its description in RNAcentral is "partial 16S ribosomal RNA". It matches the Rfam family "Bacterial small subunit ribosomal RNA", at positions 28 to 507 of the family's 1533-position model. The record is from RNAcentral.